This 1207-nucleotide ribosomal RNA is filed under the name Candidatus Kurthia intestinigallinarum. RNAcentral describes it as "Kurthia sp. 3B1D Bacterial large subunit ribosomal RNA". It matches the Rfam family "Bacterial large subunit ribosomal RNA", at positions 438 to 1647 of the family's 2925-position model. The record is from Rfam by way of RNAcentral. Lineage: Bacteria; Bacillati; Bacillota; Bacilli; Caryophanales; Caryophanaceae.
CGGAAUCUGGGAGGACCAUCUCCCAAGGCUAAAUACUCUCUAGUGACCGAUAGUGAACCAGUACCGUGAGGGAAAGGUGAAAAGCACCCCGGAAGGGGAGUGAAAGAGAUCCUGAAACCAUGUGCCUACAAGUAGUUAGAGCCCGUUAAUGGGUGAUAGCGUGCCUUUUGUAGAAUGAACCGGCGAGUUACGAUCCCAUGCAAGGUUAAGCUGAUAAGGCGGAGCCGUAGCGAAAGCGAGUCUGAAUAGGGCGAAUGAGUAUGUGGUUGUAGACCCGAAACCAGGUGAUCUACCCAUGUCCAGGGUGAAGGUAAGGUAACACUUACUGGAGGCCCGAACCCACGUACGUUGAAAAGUGCGGGGAUGAGGUGUGGGUAGCGGAGAAAUUCCAAUCGAACCUGGAAAUAGCUGGUUCUCUCCGAAAUAGCUUUAGGGCUAGCCUCGCGGCUAAGAAUCUUGGAGGUAGAGCACUGUUUGGACUAGGGGUCCAUCCCGGAUUACCGAAUUCAGACAAACUCCGAAUGCCAAUGAUUUAUACGCGGGAGUCAGACUGCGAGUGAUAAGAUCCGUAGUCAAAAGGGAAACAGCCCAGACCACCAGCUAAGGUCCCAAAGUAAUCGUUAAGUGGAAAAGGAUGUGACGUUGCUUAGACAACCAGGAUGUUGGCUCAGAAGCAGCCAUCAUUUAAAGAGUGCGUAAUAGCUCACUGGUCGAGUGACGCUGCGCCGAAAAUGUAUCGGGGCUAAACGAUUCACCGAAGCUGUGGAUGGACAUCUCAGAUGUCCGUGGUAGGAGAGCGUUCUAAUCGCUGUGAAGUCAGAUCGUAAGGACUGGUGGAGCGUUUAGAAGUGAGAAUGCCGGUAUGAGUAGCGAAAGAUGGGUGAGAAUCCCAUCCACCGAAUGACUAAGGUUUCCUGAGGAAGGCUCGUCCGCUCAGGGUUAGUCGGGACCUAAGCCGAGGCCGAUAGGCGUAGGCGAUGGAUAACAGGUUGAUAUUCCUGUACCACCUCCUCACCAUUUGAGUAAUGGGGGGACGCAGUAGGAUAGGGUAAGCGCGCUGUUGGUUAUGCGCGUCCAAGCAGUAAGGUGUGAGUGUAGGCAAAUCCGCACUCUCUAACAUUGAGCUGUGAUAGCGAAGCUCUUCGAGCGAAGUUCCUGAUUUCACACUGCCAAGAAAAGCCUCUAGCGAGGUGAGAGGUGCCCGUAC